GCCGGUGUAGCUCAGUUGGCAGAGCGGCUGAUUUGUAAUCAGCAGGUCGCAGGUUCGACUCCUGUCGCCGGCUCCA
This 76-nucleotide transfer RNA is filed under the name Gammaproteobacteria bacterium. Its description in RNAcentral is "tRNA-Thr". It matches the Rfam family "tRNA". From Rfam's summary of the family: Transfer RNA (tRNA) molecules are approximately 80 nucleotides in length. RNAcentral also lists the same sequence under 4 other names. Lineage: Bacteria; Pseudomonadati; Pseudomonadota; Gammaproteobacteria. The record is from RNAcentral.